AGAGUUUGAUCAUGGCUCAGGGUGAACGCUGGCGGUACGCCUAACACAUGCAAGUCGAACGGAUUUUAUAGAUCAAGACUUCGGUUGAGAUUUAUAAAAUUAGUGGCAAACGGGUGAGUAAUGCAUAAAUAACAUGCCCCUAAGUUUGGGAUAACAUUCUGAAAAGGAUGCUAAUACCGGAUAUUAUCCUUUUUUCGCAUGAAGAAGGGAUGAAAGAUUUAUCACUUAGGGAGUGGUUUAUGUCUGAUUAGCUAGUUGGUGAGGUAACAGCUUACCAAGGCGAUGAUCAGUAGCUGGUCUGAGAGGAUGGUCAGCCACACUGGAACUGAGACACGGUCCAGACUCCUACGGGAGGCAGCAGUGGGGAAUCUUGCGCAAUGGGCGAAAGCCUGACGCAGCGAUACCGCGUGAGUGACGAAGUCUUUCGGGAUGUAAAACUCUGUCAAGAGGGACGAUAAUGACGGUACCUCUAAAGGAAGCACCGGCUAACUACGUGCCAGCAGCCGCGGUAAUACGUAGGGUGCAAGCGUUACCCGGAAUUAUUGGGCAUAAAGAGCUCGUAGGCGGUAAUUUAAGUCAGAUGUGAAAUCCUUAGGCUCAACUUAAGUUAGCAUCUGAAACUGAAUUACUAGAGGUCAGGAGAGGAAAGCGGAACUCAUGGUGUAGCGGUGAAAUGCGUAGAUAUCAUGAGGAACACCAGUUGCGAAGGCGGCUUUCUGGCCUGAUUCUGACGCUGAGGAGCGAAAGCAUGGGGAGCAAACGGGAUUAGAUACCCCGGUAGUCCAUGCCGUAAACGGUGUUCACUAGGUGUAGGAGGUAUCGACCCCUUCUGUGCCACAGAUAAUUCGUUAAGUGAACCGCCUGGGAAGUACGACCGCAAGGUUAAAACUCAAAGGAAUUGACGGGGGCCCGCACAAGCAGUGGAGCAUGUGGUUUAAUUCGACGGUACACGAAGAACCUUACCAGGGCUUGUAUCUGCAGAAUCCCCUAGAAACAGGGGAGUGCCCGCAAGGGAACUGCAAGACAGGUGGUGCAUGGCUGUCGUCAGCUCGUGUCGUGAGAUGUUGGGCUAAGUCCCGCAACGAGCGCAACCCUCGUUCUGUGUUGCCAGCACUUUCAGGUGGGAACUCACAGAAGACUGCCUGUGUUAAGCAGGAGGAAGGUGAGGACGACGUCAAGUCAUCAUGCCCCUUACGCCCUGGGCUACACACAUGCUACAAUGGUCGGUACAAAGGGUUGCUAGGCCGCGAGGUCAUGCUAAUCUUAAAAACCGAUCUUAGUACGGAUUGUAGUCUGAAACUCGACUACAUGAAGCUGGAAUUGCUAGUAAACGCAAAUCAGCUAUGUUGCGUUGAAUACGUUCUCGGGCCUUGUACACACCGCCCGUCACAC
RNAcentral lists this ribosomal RNA (1392 nucleotides) under uncultured bacterium. RNAcentral describes it as "16S ribosomal RNA". It matches the Rfam family "Bacterial small subunit ribosomal RNA". The record is from RNAcentral.